AAAUAUAUAAAUAACGAUGGUAAACAACAGGCAGUAAUUAAUAGAGGUCGUAAAAAAAAAAUUCCACGAGACAAUUAAUAUCAAUUGGCCGCUUUCUCUGGAGACUGAGGCCGAGCCACCACCACCAGCACCAUCACCAACACCAUCAAUAACCACAAUGUUGAUAGUUACUGUAGCACAAAUUAAUAAGUCGUCAUCCGUAUUAACCUCUCAAUUAAAACGAGUCGAGUGUCUGUUAGACAUUAUUUCAUACUCCAUGUUUGCUACACCCUCAGUCUUCUUCCAGAUCUCACGAUCAACUUAACAUUACAACUUAUACUCAAAGCCCGUUCUUCGGCGUAAUUUUUUUACGGGCAGUAAUUAAAACUAGCAUCCAUAUUUAAUCAUGCAUACCAACUCGCUUAUAUUUUAAAUUUGAAUCUAUUACGGUGUUAGCUUUCUGUUGACGCAAUUAUUUGAGAGUAAGCUCUUGUAAAUUACAAACCAAAGCAUAAUUACAUUGUUAUGGUUAUAAUCUACGGCGAUUAAUUAAAUUAUAAAGUUAUCAGAGUGUUAAGUGUGCAAGAAAGAUCCAACGAUUAUAAAUCCAACAAUAGCAGCAGCACCGAAGGAAAGAACCAAGCGGAUUAUCAACAAGAGGAUAAUUGAGAAAAUACCAGAGACGUGUGACUACGAAUGUGAUCAACAAACGAUCGGACGCUUUCACUGCUAGUUAAUUCAAGAGAGUACACGUGGAUGCCGGCCUUGGCGAGUUCUUUGGCUCCUGGGCUGUCAAUAUUAUGAACUCCAGCGACGACAUAUGCGCCU
Microplitis mediator is the source of this 807-nucleotide long non-coding RNA. RefSeq lists it as uncharacterized. NCBI's taxonomy places the organism in Eukaryota, Metazoa, Arthropoda, Insecta, Hymenoptera, Braconidae. The record is from RefSeq and is a predicted model, not a curated record. The transcript is spliced from 3 exons.